UAGGGAAUCUUCCGCAAUGGACGCAAGUCUGACGGAGCAACGCCGCGUGAGUGAAGAAGGAUUUCGGUUCGUAAAACUCUGUUGUUAGAGAAGAACAGCGCAUUGAGUAACUGUUAUGCGCGUGACGGUAUCUAACCAGAAAGCCACGGCUAACUACGUGCCAGCAGCCGCGGUAAUACGUAGGUGGCAAGCGUUGUCCUGAUUUAUUGGGCGUAAAGCGCGCGCAGGCGGUCAAGUAAGUCUGGUGUGAAAGCCCCCGGCUAAACCGGGUAGGGUCAAUGGAAACUGGUUGGCUUGAGUGGGGAAGAAGAGGGUGGAAUUCCAUGUGUAGGGGUGAAAUGUGUAGAUAUAUGGAGGAACACCGGUGGCGAAGGCGACUCUCUGGUCUGUAACAGACGCUGAGGCUAGAAAGCGUGGGUAGCAAACAGG
This 429-nucleotide ribosomal RNA is filed under the name Bacteroidota bacterium. RNAcentral describes it as "Bacteroidetes bacterium partial 16S ribosomal RNA". It matches the Rfam family "Bacterial small subunit ribosomal RNA", at positions 355 to 776 of the family's 1533-position model. Lineage: Bacteria; Pseudomonadati; Bacteroidota. The record is from RNAcentral.